UACAGAGGGUGCAAGCGUUUGUUCGGAAUUAUUGGGCGUAAAGCGCGUGUAGGCGGCAGUGCAAGUCGGGUGUGAAAGCCCUCAGCUCAACUGAGGAAGUGCGCCCGAAACUGCAUUGCUUGAGUACCGGAGAGGAUGGCGGAAUUCCCGAAGUAGAGGUGAAAUUCGUAGAUAUCGGGAGGAACACCGGUGGCGAAGGCGGCCAUCUGGACGGAUACUGACGCUGAGACGCGAAAGCGUGGGUAGCAAACAGG
RNAcentral lists this ribosomal RNA (254 nucleotides) under uncultured bacterium. Its description in RNAcentral is "partial 16S ribosomal RNA". It matches the Rfam family "Bacterial small subunit ribosomal RNA", at positions 524 to 776 of the family's 1533-position model. The record is from RNAcentral.